This 246-nucleotide long non-coding RNA is filed under the name Elaeis guineensis (African oil palm). RNAcentral's name for it is "long non-coding RNA (EGUI_LNC047076)". Lineage: Eukaryota; Viridiplantae; Streptophyta; Magnoliopsida; Arecales; Arecaceae. The record is from RNAcentral.
UCUGCACUAAACAACCCCUGUAUACCUGAUCUACAACAAAUGGCUUCUCCACUGGCAUAGAUACCACCAGACUACAGUCUAAUUGGCUCAAACUCUUAGUGGUAUGCAUGAAAAAUGCAGGUGAUAGGUAUGAAUGCAUUGACCUAGGGUCAAUCAAUAUAUAUGCAUCAUGAUCAAAUAUGAACAAUGUAUCUAUCACCACAUUAGAGGUAUCCUAUGCCUCUUGUUUGGUCAUGGCAAACACCC